GUCAAAGACAGGUUGUUGAAGGCUGGG
RNAcentral lists this non-coding RNA (27 nucleotides) under Rattus norvegicus (Norway rat). Lineage: Eukaryota; Metazoa; Chordata; Mammalia; Rodentia; Muridae. The record is from RNAcentral.